AACGCGAAGAACCUUACCAAAUCUUGACAUCCCCCUGACCGGACAGUAAUGUGUCCUUUCCUUCGGGACAGGGGAGACAGGUGGUGCAUGGUUGUCGUCAGCUCGUGUCGUGAGAUGUUGGGUUAAGUCCCGCAACGAGCGCAACCCUUAUCCUAAGUAGCCAGCACGUCAAGGUGGGCACUCUGGGGAGACUGCCGGGGAUAACCCGGAGGAAGGUGGGGACGACGUCAAAUCAUCAUGCCCCUUAUGAUUUGGGCUACACACGUGCUACAAUGGCGUAAACAAAGGGAAGCGAAGCCGCGAGGCGGAGCAAAUCCCAAAAAUAACGCCUCAGUUCGGAUUGUAGUCUGCAACUCGACUACAUGAAGCUGGAAUCGCUAGUAAUCGCAAAUCAGAAUGUUGCGGUGAAUACGUUCCCGGGUCUUGUACACACCG
RNAcentral lists this ribosomal RNA (435 nucleotides) under uncultured bacterium. RNAcentral's name for it is "bacterial SSU rRNA". It matches the Rfam family "Bacterial small subunit ribosomal RNA", at positions 958 to 1392 of the family's 1533-position model. The record is from RNAcentral.